RNAcentral lists this transfer RNA (74 nucleotides) under Aedes aegypti (yellow fever mosquito). It matches the Rfam family "tRNA". From Rfam's summary of the family: Transfer RNA (tRNA) molecules are approximately 80 nucleotides in length. Their secondary structure includes four short double-helical elements and three loops (D, anti-codon, and T loops). The record is from Rfam by way of RNAcentral. Lineage: Eukaryota; Metazoa; Arthropoda; Insecta; Diptera; Culicidae.
CCUCUCAUGGCUUAGUGGUUAACGCGCCCCAACUAGAGAUCGGGGAGUCGUGAGUUCGAUUCUCACUGAGAAGA